AUACGUAGGUGGCAAGCGUUGUCCGGAUUUACUGGGUGUAAAGGGCGUGCAGCCGGGGAAGCAAGUCAGGUGUGAAAUGCAGAGGCUUAACCUCUGAAUUGCAUUUGAAACUGUUUUUCUUGAGUACUGGAGGGGCAAUCGGAAUUCCUAGUGUAGCGGUGAAAUGCGUAGAUAUUAGGAGGAACACCAGUGGCGAAGGCGGCUUUCUGGACAUUUACUGACGCUGAGGCGCGAAAGCGUAGGGAGCAAACAGGAUUAGAUACCCUGGUAGUCCACGCUGUAAACGAUGAUUACUAGGUGUGGGAGGUAUCGACUCCUUCCGUGCCGGAGUUAACACAAUAAGUAAUCCACCUGGGGAGUACGGCCGCAAGGUUGAAACUCAAAUGAAUUGACGGGG
RNAcentral lists this ribosomal RNA (397 nucleotides) under uncultured bacterium. RNAcentral's name for it is "partial 16S ribosomal RNA". It matches the Rfam family "Bacterial small subunit ribosomal RNA", at positions 523 to 918 of the family's 1533-position model. The record is from RNAcentral.